Molecule: transfer RNA, 90 nt
Filed under: Candidatus Aenigmatarchaeota archaeon
Lineage: Archaea; Nanobdellati; Candidatus Aenigmatarchaeota
Description: tRNA-Glu
Rfam family: tRNA
About the family: Transfer RNA (tRNA) molecules are approximately 80 nucleotides in length. Their secondary structure includes four short double-helical elements and three loops (D, anti-codon, and T loops).
Source: RNAcentral
GCUCCCAUCGUCCAGCCCGGUCAAUCGAAAGAACUGAUAGGACGUUGGCUUCUCAGGCCGAAGACACGGGUUCAAAUCCCGUUGGGAGCA